GAGGAGCUUUGUACUCUCUGAGUAUUGCCCUCUGGCAUACAAGUGGUUGUAGGAGAGGGCUGGACAAUGCCCAUGGCAAAAAGGUGAUGUUGUAGGAGCUAUGUUAUGUGGUUGCUUUUUGCCUUGUGAUUUCCAUCCUCCAUCUCCCUUGUGUUCUUCCAAAAUAGGGCUUCCAAGGUGCACCUCAACCCUCGGAGCCUUUUCCUAUCCCCACAACGUUUCCCUCUUGCUAUGGGCUUCAUACCCUGUGAUCAGGUGAUGGAACCUGCUUUAUCAUUCAGCAAGACCUCGAUUACGUCCUGGAUCUCACAGAAGCUGACUGCGACCCUGUGUACAAGGUAGCUUCCUGGGAGAAGCAGAUUUACACGUGCUGCAGAGACGGGAUAGUGAGGAGAUACCAGCUUUCCAAUCUGUAAGCACCUGGAUCGACCACGUAGCAGAGGGAAGAGCCAAAAGGGCUCCUCCGAGCUGGUU
Long non-coding RNA from Pezoporus occidentalis (night parrot), 474 nucleotides. RefSeq lists it as uncharacterized. The transcript has 3 exons. Lineage: Eukaryota; Metazoa; Chordata; Aves; Psittaciformes; Psittacidae. The record is from RefSeq and is a predicted model, not a curated record.